CGGAUCAGAAUGCCGCGGUGAAUACGUUCCCGGGUCUUGUACACACCGCCCGUCACACCAUGGGAGUCGGGAAUGCCCGAAGCCGGUGACCCAACCAAAAGGAGGGAGCCGUCGAAGGCAGGUCUGAUAACUGGGGUGAAGUCGUAACAAGGUAUC
This 156-nucleotide ribosomal RNA is filed under the name uncultured bacterium. RNAcentral's name for it is "partial 16S ribosomal RNA". It matches the Rfam family "Bacterial small subunit ribosomal RNA", at positions 1345 to 1500 of the family's 1533-position model. The record is from RNAcentral.